GACGAACGCUGGCGGCGUGCUUAACACAUGCCAGUCGAACGAAGAGCGACGGAAGCUUGCUUCUAUCAAUCUUAGUGGCGAACGGGUGAGUAACGCGUAAUCAACCUGCCCUUCAGAGGGGGACAACAGUUGGAAACGACUGCUAAUACCGCAUACGAUCUAACCUCGGCAUCGAGGAUAGAUGAAAGGUGGCCUCUACAUGUAAGCUAUCACUGAAGGAGGGGAUUGCGUCUGAUUAGCUAGUUGGAGGGGUAACGGCCCACCAAGGCGAUGAUCAGUAGCCGGUCUGAGAGGAUGAACGGCCACAUUGGGACUGAGACACGGCCCAGACUCCUACGGGAGGCAGCAGUGGGGAAUCUUCCGCAAUGGACGAAAGUCUGACGGAGCAACGCCGCGUGAGUGAUGACGGCCUUCGGGUUGUAAAGCUCUGUUAAUCGGGACGAAAGGCCUUCUUGCGAAUAGGGAGAAGGAUUGACGGUACCGGAAUAGAAAGCCACGGCUAACUACGUG
RNAcentral lists this ribosomal RNA (510 nucleotides) under uncultured bacterium. RNAcentral describes it as "partial 16S ribosomal RNA". It matches the Rfam family "Bacterial small subunit ribosomal RNA", at positions 28 to 507 of the family's 1533-position model. The record is from RNAcentral.